UCGACUCUUCUACGUAUCUUUAAUAUAUUCACAAUCACAUAGCAACCAGUACAUAUACGAACUCAGUUACAAAACAUAGCAGAAUAAUUCAUCAGUAAUUUCAUAAAUAAACAUAAAUAAAAACACAACUAUUAAUAAUAAAAUUUUGCUCGAAUCUUGCGCCUAAUUAUCAAUUAUUAAAUUAAUUAACUCGAAUCACCUACCGAGCAUCGUUAAUUAAUUGCUUAAACAAAUCAAACUACAUUUGUAGCACAAAUGCAUUUACUUGAUUUUCGUUUACGGAUCUACUUCGUAGAAGAGUUCCUAAAUGUCAAAUACAAUCAUGCGUAACCACCGAAAAGAUGCGACGUUGCAUGUCUCCACACGAUGUCACCAAAGCGUAUACACACCACCACUAAAAACUAUCAUGCACCGCCGCCGGACCACCGCAUGCCGCCACGAACCGCUACGAAUUGACCAGAACUCACCAUGAAAUGCUUCGUUCCCUCUGGUCCAGCGUAGAUAUGGUGAAAUUACACCGAAAGAAGCCGCGAAACAGCAAAAACAUGCGUCGAGUNNNN
This 560-nucleotide long non-coding RNA is filed under the name Carica papaya (papaya). RNAcentral's name for it is "long non-coding RNA (CPAP_LNC010029)". The record is from RNAcentral. Lineage: Eukaryota; Viridiplantae; Streptophyta; Magnoliopsida; Brassicales; Caricaceae.